Molecule: ribosomal RNA, 474 nt
Filed under: uncultured fungus
Lineage: Eukaryota; Fungi
Description: eukaryotic LSU rRNA
Rfam family: 5.8S ribosomal RNA (bases 170-323)
Source: RNAcentral
CAUUAAAGAAUCGCCCCGUUUUUUGAAAUGGGUUCUAUUCCCAAACCGUGUAUACAUACCUUUGUUGCUUUGGCAGGCCGCCUUUUAGGCGUCGGCUCCGGCUGACUGCGCCUGCCAGAGGACCCAAACUCUUUUGUUUAGUGAUGUCUGAGUACUAUAUAAUAGUUAAAACUUUCAACAACGGAUCUCUUGGUUCUGGCAUCGAUGAAGAACGCAGCGAAAUGCGAUAAGUAAUGUGAAUUGCAGAAUUCAGUGAAUCAUCGAAUCUUUGAACGCACAUUGCGCCCCUUGGUAUUCCGAGGGGCAUGCCUGUUCGAGCGUCAUUAUAACCACUCAAGCCUUGGCUUGGUCUUGGGGUUCGCGGUUUCGCGGCCCUUAAAAUCAGUGGCGGUGCCGUUUGGCUCUAAGCGUAGUAAUUCUCUCGCUAUAGGGUCCAGGUGACCACCUGCCAGAACCCCCCAUUCUUUACGGUUG